GAUGAAGAACUUAGCGAAAUGCGAUACUUGGUGUGAAUUGCAGAAUCCCGUGAACCAUCGAGUCUUUGAACGCAAGUUGCGCCCGAAGCCAUUAGGCCGAGGGCACGCCUGCCUGGGCGUCACACGUCGUUGCCCCCCCAUCUACUCCUUCGGGAUUGCGGGGGGCGGAUGAUGGCCUCCCGUGCGCCUCGCCGCGCGGUUGGCAUAAAUGCCAAGUCCUCGGCGACGCACGCCACGACAAUCGGUGGUUGCGAAACCUCGGUUGCCCGUCGUGUGCGGUCGUCGCGCAUCGAGGGCUCGAAAAAAUUGCCGGGUUCCGGCUCGGCUUUCAACGCGACCCCAGGUCAGGAGGGGUUACCCGCUGAAUUUAAGCAUAUCAAUAAGCGGAGGA
Molecule: unclassified non-coding RNA, 391 nt
Filed under: soil metagenome
Description: partial contains 5.8S ribosomal RNA, internal transcribed spacer 2, and large subunit ribosomal RNA
Rfam family: 5.8S ribosomal RNA (bases 1-122)
Source: RNAcentral